GAUGAACGCUGGCGGCGUGCUUAACACAUGCGAGUUGAACGGAAAGGCCACAGCUUGCUGUGGUACUCGAGUGGCGAACGGGUGAGUAACACGUGGGUGAUCUGCCCUGUACUUCGGGAUAAGCUUGGGAAACUGGGUCUAAUACCGGAUAGGAAUCACAUGUGGGUGUGUGGUUGGAAAGCUUUUGCGGUAUGGGAUGAGCUCGCGGCCUAUCAGCUUGUUGGUGGGGUAAUGGCCUACCAAGGCGUCGACGGGUAGCCGGCCUGAGAGGGUGUACGGCCACAUUGGGACUGAGAUACGGCCCAGACUCCUACGGGAGGCAGCAGUGGGGAAUAUUGCACAAUGGGCGCAAGCCUGAUGCAGCGACGCCGCGUGGGGGAUGACGGCCUUCGGGUUGUAAACUCCUUUCGUCAGGGACGAAGCGAAAGUGACGGUACCUGGAGAAGAAGCACCGGCUAACUACGUG
RNAcentral lists this ribosomal RNA (466 nucleotides) under uncultured bacterium. RNAcentral describes it as "partial 16S ribosomal RNA". It matches the Rfam family "Bacterial small subunit ribosomal RNA", at positions 28 to 507 of the family's 1533-position model. The record is from RNAcentral.